GUGGGGAAUAUUCCGCAAUGGACGAAAGUCUGACGGAGCAACGCCGCGUGAGUGAUGAAGGUUUUCGGACUGUAAAGCUCUGUUGUUUAGGACGAAAGUGCCUGUUGCAAAUAGUUACAGGUAUUGACGGUACUGAACGAGGAAGCCACGGCUAACUACGUGCCAGCAGCCGCGGUAAUACGUAGGUGGCAAGCGUUGUCCGGAAUUAUUGGGCGUAAAGAGCAUGUAGGCGGGAAUCUAAGUCUGUUGUGAAAAUGCGGGGCUCAACCCCGUAUUGGGAUGGAAACUGGGUUUCUUGAGUGCAGGAGAGGAAAGGGGAAUUCCCAGUGUAGCGGUGAAAUGCGUAGAUAUUGGGAGGAACACCAGUGGCGAAGGCGCCUUUCUGGACUGUGUCUGACGCUGAGAUGCGAAAGCCAGGGUAGCGAACGGGAUUAGAUACCCGUGUAAUCC
RNAcentral lists this ribosomal RNA (450 nucleotides) under uncultured bacterium. RNAcentral's name for it is "partial 16S ribosomal RNA". It matches the Rfam family "Bacterial small subunit ribosomal RNA", at positions 354 to 796 of the family's 1533-position model. The record is from RNAcentral.